Molecule: long non-coding RNA, 2957 nt
Filed under: Malus domestica (apple)
Lineage: Eukaryota; Viridiplantae; Streptophyta; Magnoliopsida; Rosales; Rosaceae
Description: long non-coding RNA (MDOM_LNC008484)
Source: RNAcentral
AUAAGCUCCUCACUAAGUGAAGUGAGGAUUAAGCAGUUGGCUUGUAAGUCAUCUUCAUAGUGUCUAACAUAAUUUUGACACUCCUCAUUUGAAGCUAGUUUCGUAGGAGGUACAUGAGGAGGGGAUUGCUUAAGCACAUACAAUAUGUCUUUCACCUUUGAGACAUUCUCAAUGUGGCGAUACCAAGCAAGGAAACAUUGGCCCCUAAGGCCCCUUUUGUCAAGUAUAAUGGUGGGUAUUAUUUUAGGCAUGUCGUUAACUACAUAACAUAAUAGAAAUCGUAUUAGAUUGUUUGUUUUAAAACUACUUGAUUGGGUCUUAAAUCAAAUAGUACCACCCACUAUUUUUUGGCAAAUUCCACAUCCCUCAAUGGAAUUCGAGAGUUAUUUUGAACUCUAAGUGGGGUAUGGGAGACUCACCAUUACCAAUCCCACCUCACGAUGAUACGAUGUUGGUUAGCAAAAAUAAUGAUGAGAAAAUAACGCUUUAUUCAUUUACAACUUUUGUAAUUACCCAUCUAGUUUGGCCUCUAGAGAAUGUUGCCUCACGAUGAUACGAUGUCGGCACCAUUGCACUUAGUUAAGUUAUUCCCACCAUGCUUAGUUCAUGUAGGGGUUCAAGAAUAGCCUCACGAUGAUACGAUGUCGGCCAUCCUCGUUGCCUACACUCACUUCAUCAUAUGUUUAUGGACUCCUCCUGGAUGUAAGCACAUACUUUGAACUUCCCCAUGAUAGGGUGAAGCCGGUGUAGGAGUCACAAACGAUUGGAGCCAACCACGGUGGAAGGCCUACGAAGAGAUGUUCAAAACAUCUCUCGCUUAUCAACUUAAUAUUCGUUUUGUUGAGGGAGUAGUGUUGGGCUACAUCAAAAUCAUUUUAAUCUUAUUAAAAGAAUUUGGGCCUAUCACAACUAUUGGUCCAAGUUUAUAUAAAUUAGUAGCAUAUAAUACUCCCACUGUUUCGUUGAAACAAGCGAGACUAUAUGGAACUACUAACGGAUGCAUUGCAUCCUCAUAUGGACUAUAUAGUCAUAUUAGCUUUUAGGAUGAUUAUGAACCGUUUGAUUUGAUCCAACACGAGCCUUGUGUUGGACCUUGGGUUUAAGGUAGAUAGUUGUUGAUUUUAGUUACGCGUUUAAUCUAAUUAAACCGUUAUUUCCUAUUGGGCGUUGGACCCAACUAUUCCAAUUUGCAUACAUUUAAACAAAAAGGAAUACUUGAAAUAAAGAGAAGGGCUUAUGCCCUUUUACAACACAUAAGAUGGACUUAUGUCCAUUUACAACAAAUUGAAUUAAUCAAAUUACAUUCAAAUCUAAACUACUUAACCCAAACAUUCAUAAUGUAAAGCAGCCAAUCACAUAGCUCAAUUAUCGAGGUCUUUGGUUCAUAAUCACCCUUUUCUUAAUCAAUCACAUUAACUAAGAAAGCAACUUAAACAAUUGGUUUUCGGAUUCAUAGAAUUGAUUUAAAUGGAACUAAAUAAAAUGAAAAUCCAAUUCUCAUUUAAAGAGACAAAACCAUUUUGUUCUCAUUUAAUUUGGGCCAAAACCAAUGACCACAACAAUUGGGCCAUUAUUUAAUAAACAAAAACUUUUGGGGGUCACUUUGUAAAAACACAAGAGUCCACAGCUUCAUGUAAUUACAACUAGAACCCAAAAUUUUAAUAAUUCCUAAAACUUCAUUAAAGGAACAAAACAAUUUGUCCUUUAGUGAUUUUGGACCUUUACGCAAAAAUACGUAAACUUUUGGGCCAAAAUUCAAAAACACAAAAGUAUCAAAACUUUAUGUAAUUGCACAAAAGGCCCAAAAAUACCCUAUUGUAAAGGUUGGCCGGCCAUGAGAGAACAAGUGAAAAGAAAAUUUUUUCACUUGAUUUGGUAGGUGAGAUAAAGGUGAUUCAGAUGGUUUGUAAGAAAAUGUUUUGUAAAACAUUAAAGGCAUUAAACAUGUUUCACCAAUAAACAUCACCCAUCAAUUAUAUACCAAAACUUUAUGAAAAAACAUAAAACUUUUGAAUCAAAACUUCAAAACUUUUUGUUCUUGGCAAGAACUUCAAGAACAUUGAAGAACACUCAUGAAAACUCAAAAAUAGCUCCAUGAAUGUUUUCACUCACCAAAACUCAAAUUUUCACUACUCAAAAGAGGGUUAAUAUCCUAGGGUACUUAGGGGUUCCAAAAGUCACUUUAAAACUCUUUUAACAAGACAAACAUGAACCCAAAAAAUCACCCAUUGGAUUUGGCCGAAUUUCCCAACAAACAUGGCACCAAAUUUUAGUUCCAAUAUUCAUGCUUAAAUGAAAUACAUCUACAACAUUUGAGAUGCUAAAUUUUCAAGCAAAAUUUAUAUUCAAACCAAGAACAAAGCUUGUAACAUUUACAACAUUUAAAUCACAAAUCAUGAAAAAUCACAAAACCCAAAAGGAUUCACCAUAAACUAGGCCUAGGCUCUGAUACCACUUGAAGGAAAAAAUUUGUCCUAGCUAAGAACAAGUAAGAACAUUUGAAUACAUAUGCAAACUAUUAACACAUUAAAGUAGGCAUGCAUCCAAAAACAAUUCAUAAAACCCAUGACUUUCAAAGCCUAGUAUAUGGUGAACCAAUAAACUCUUUAACAACAUUAAAGAGAAGGAAAGAUUUAGAGUUUCUUUACCCUUGAAGCUCAUCCUUGAUUAAACAAGGGAUUCACCCAAGUGGAGGGCCUUCAAGUCACCUCCUUGCUUCUUGGAUCUUCCUUGUGAUUUUCCUCCUUUUAGUGCUCCUUUGCUUCUUUGAGGAUUUGAGGAUUUGUUCUCCAAAACAUCAAAAACUUGAUGUCUCUAAGUCUCUUCACCAAGGAUGUGAUGUGAAGAUGAAAUGGAUGACUUAGGGAAGAAGAGAUUGCUAGCUAUUCCUUCCCUAGGUGGCCGGCCUCUUUUGAGAAAAUGAGAGAAAAUGUUUCACCUCAUUUCACCAAGAAAAA